RNAcentral lists this ribosomal RNA (429 nucleotides) under uncultured bacterium. Its description in RNAcentral is "bacterial SSU rRNA". It matches the Rfam family "Bacterial small subunit ribosomal RNA", at positions 964 to 1395 of the family's 1533-position model. The record is from RNAcentral.
AAAACCCUUACCAGGUCGUGACAUCUUUUGAUCACCUGAGAGAUCAGGUUUCCCCUUCGGGGGCAAAAUCACAGGUGGUGCAUGGUUGUCGUCAGCUCGGGUCGGGAGAUGUUGGGUUAAGUCCCGCAACGAGCGCAACCCCUAUGACUAGUUGCCAGCAUUUAGUUGGGCACUCUAGUAAGACUGCCGGUGACAAACCGGAGGAAGGUGGGGAUGACGUCAAAUCAUCCUGCCCUUAUGACCUGGGGUACACACGUGCUACAAUGGAUGGUACCACGAGUUGCGAGACCGCGAGGUCAAGCUAAUCUCUUAAAGCCAUUCUCAGUUCGGACUGUAGGUUGCAACUCGCCUACAGGAAGUCGGAAUCCCUCGUAAUCGCGGAUCAGCACGCCGCGGUGAAUACGUUCCCGGGUGUUGUACACACCGCCU